This 483-nucleotide ribosomal RNA is filed under the name uncultured bacterium. RNAcentral's name for it is "partial 16S ribosomal RNA". It matches the Rfam family "Bacterial small subunit ribosomal RNA", at positions 30 to 507 of the family's 1533-position model. The record is from RNAcentral.
UUGCACGCUGGCGGCAGGCCUAACCCAUGCAAGUCGAGCGGAUGAAGGGAGCUUGCUCCUGGAUUCAGCGGCGGACGGGUGAGUAAUGCCUAGGAAUCUGCCUGGUAGUGGGGGAUAACGUCCGGAAACGGGCGCUAAUACCGCAUACGUCCUGAGGGAGAAAGUGGGGGAUCUUCGGACCUCACGCUAUCAGAUGAGCCUAGGUCGGAUUAGCUAGUUGGUGGGGUAAAGGCCUACCAAGGCGACGAUCCGUAACUGGUCUGAGAGGAUGAUCAGUCACACUGGAACUGAGACACGGUCCAGACUCCUACGGGAGGCAGCAGUGGGGAAUAUUGGACAAUGGGCGAAAGCCUGAUCCAGCCAUGCCGCGUGUGUGAAGAAGGUCUUCGGAUUGUAAAGCACUUUAAGUUGGGAGGAAGGGCAGUAAGUUAAUACCUUGCUGUUUUGACGUUACCAACAGAAUAAGCACCGGCUAACUUCGUG